CUACGUGCCAGCAGCCGCGGUAAUACGUAGGUCCCGAGCGUUGUCCGGAUUUAUUGGGCGUAAAGCGAGCGCAGGCGGUUAGAUAAGUCUGAAGUUAAAGGCUGUGGCUUAACCAUAGUACGCUUUGGAAACUGUUUAACUUGAGUGCAAGAGGGGAGAGUGGAAUUCCAUGUGUAGCGGUGAAAUGCGUAGAUAUAUGGAGGAACACCGGUGGCGAAAGCGGCUCUCUGGCUUGUAACUGACGCUGAGGCUCGAAAGCGUGGGGAGCAAACAGGAUUAGAUACCCUGGUAGUCCACGCCGUAAACGAUGAGUGCUAGGUGUUAGACCCUUUCCGGGGUUUAGUGCCGUAGCUAACGCAUUAAGCACUCCGCCUGGGGAGUACGACCGCAAGGUUGAAACUCAAAGGAAUUGACGGGGGCCCGCACAAGCGGUGGAGCAUGUGGUUUAAUUCGACGCAACGCGAGGAACCUUACCAGCGUUUGACAUC
This 488-nucleotide ribosomal RNA is filed under the name uncultured bacterium. Its description in RNAcentral is "bacterial SSU rRNA". It matches the Rfam family "Bacterial small subunit ribosomal RNA", at positions 501 to 988 of the family's 1533-position model. The record is from RNAcentral.